RNAcentral lists this ribosomal RNA (595 nucleotides) under uncultured bacterium. RNAcentral's name for it is "bacterial SSU rRNA". It matches the Rfam family "Bacterial small subunit ribosomal RNA", at positions 57 to 650 of the family's 1533-position model. The record is from RNAcentral.
GCAGUCGCGCGGACUUCUUCGGAGUCAGCGGCGGACGGGUGAGUAACACGUGGGCAAUCUGCCUCUUAGACUGGAAUAACGCCUGGAAACGGGUGCUAAUGCCAGAUAGAGCAACGAACAGGCAUCUGUUUGUUGGGAAAGGUGCUACGGCAUCACUAAGAGAGGAGCCCGCGGCGCAUUAGCUAGUUGGUGGGGUAACGGCCUACCAAGGCGACGAUGCGUAGCCGACCUGAGAGGGUGACCGGCCACACUGGGACUGAGACACGGCCCAGACUCCUACGGGAGGCAGCAGUAGGGAAUCUUCGGCAAUGGGCGAAAGUCUGACGGAGCAACGCCGCGUGAGUGAUGAAGGCCUUCGGGUCGUAAAACUUUGUUGUCAGGGAAGAACAAGUAUCGGAGUCACUGCCGGUACCUUGACGGUACCUGACCAGAAAGCCACGGCUAACUACGUGCCAGCAGCCGCGGUAAUACGUAGGGGGCAAGCGUUGUCCGGAAUCACUGGGCGUAAAGCGUGCGUAGGCGGUUUGUUAAGUCUGGAGUGAAAGGCCAUGGCUCAACCAUGGGAAUGCUUUGGAAACUGGCAGACUUGAGUACU